AUUGAACGCUGGCGGCAUGCCUUACACAUGCAAGUCGAACGGUAACAGGUCUUCGGAUGCUGGCGAGUGGCGAACGGGUGAGUAAUACAUCGGAACGUGCCUAGUAGUGGGGGAUAACUACUCGAAAGAGUGGCUAAUACCGUAUGAGAUCUACGGAUGAAAGCAGGGGAUCGCAAGACCUUGUGCUACUAGAGCGGCCGAUGGCAGAUUAGGUAGUGGGUGGGAUAAAAGCUUACCAAGCCGACGAUCUGUAGCUGGUCUGGGAGGACGAUCCGCAACAAUAGGAAGGAGCACCGGCCCAAACUCUUACGGGAGGCAGCAGUGGGGAAUUUUGUACAAGGGGCGAGAGCCUGAUCUAGUAGUGCCGCAUGAAGAAUGAAGGCCUUGGGUUUGUAAACUGCGUUUGUACGGAACGAAAAGGCCCGGGUUAAUACCCUGGGGUCAUGACGGUACCGUAAGAAUAAGCACCGGUUAACUACGGGCCAGCCGCCGCCGUAA
This 498-nucleotide ribosomal RNA is filed under the name uncultured bacterium. Its description in RNAcentral is "partial 16S ribosomal RNA". It matches the Rfam family "Bacterial small subunit ribosomal RNA", at positions 30 to 523 of the family's 1533-position model. The record is from RNAcentral.